Molecule: ribosomal RNA, 1346 nt
Filed under: uncultured bacterium
Lineage: Bacteria
Description: partial 16S ribosomal RNA
Rfam family: Bacterial small subunit ribosomal RNA
Source: RNAcentral
GACGAACGCUGGCGGCGUGCUUAACACAUGCAAGUCGAACGGAAAGGCCCUGCUUUUGUGGGGUGCUCGAGUGGCGAACGGGUGAGUAACACGUGAGUAACCUGCCCUUGACUUUGGGAUAACUUCAGGAAACUGGGGCUAAUACCGGAUAGGAGCUCUUGCUGCAUGGUGGGGGUUGGAAAGUUUCGGCGGUUGGGGAUGGACUCGCGGCUUAUCAGCUUGUUGGUGGGGUAGUGGCUUACCAAGGCUUUGACGGGUAGCCGGCCUGAGAGGGUGACCGGCCACAUUGGGACUGAGAUACGGCCCAGACUCCUACGGGAGGCAGCAGUGGGGAAUAUUGCACAAUGGGCGGAAGCCUGAUGCAGCAACGCCGCGUGCGGGAUGACGGCCUUCGGGUUGUAAACCGCUUUCGCCUGUGACGAAGCGUGAGUGACGGUAAUGGGUAAAGAAGCACCGGCUAACUACGUGCCAGCAGCCGCGGUGAUACGUAGGGUGCGAGCGUUGUCCGGAUUUAUUGGGCGUAAAGGGCUCGUAGGUGGUUGAUCGCGUCGGAAGUGUAAUCUUGGGGCUUAACCCUGAGCGUGCUUUCGAUACGGGUUGACUUGAGGAAGGUAGGGGAGAAUGGAAUUCCUGGUGGAGCGGUGGAAUGCGCAGAUAUCAGGAGGAACACCAGUGGCGAAGGCGGUUCUCUGGGCUUUUCCUGACGCUGAGGAGCGAAAGCGUGGGGAGCGAACAGGCUUAGAUACCCUGGUAGUCCACGCUGUAAACGGUGGGUACUAGGUGUGGGGUCCAUUCCACGGGUUCCGUGCCGUAGCUAACGCUUUAAGUACCCCGCCUGGGGAGUACGGCCGCAAGGCUAAAACUCAAAGGAAUUGACGGGGCCCCGCACAAGCGGCGGAGCAUGCGGAUUAAUUCGAUGCAACGCGUAGAACCUUACCUGGGUUUGACAUGGAUCGGGAGUGCUCAGAGAUGGGUGUGCCUCUUUUGGGGUCGGUUCACAGGUGGUGCAUGGCUGUCGUCAGCUCGUGUCGUGAGAUGUUGGGUUAAGUCCCGCAACGAGCGCAACCCUUGUUCACUGUUGCCAGCACGUUAUGGUGGGGACUCAGUGGAGACCGCCGGGGUCAACUCGGAGGAAGGUGGGGAUGACGUCAAGUCAUCAUGCCCCUUAUGUCCAGGGCUUCACGCAUGCUACAAUGGCUGGUACAGAGAGUGGCGAGCCUGUGAGGGUGAGCGAAUCUCGGAAAGUCGGUCUCAGUUCGGAUUGGGGUCUGCAACUCGACCUCAUGAAGUCGGAGUCGCUAGUAAUCGCAGAUCAGCAACGCUGCGGUGAAUACGUUCCCGGGGCU